UUCGAUGCAACGCGAAAAACCUUACCUACCCUUGACAUGUCUGGAAUCCUGAAGAGAUUUGGGAGUGCUCGAAAGAGAGCCAGAACACAGGUGCUGCAUGGCCGUCGUCAGCUCGUGUCGUGAGAUGUUGGGUUAAGUCCCGCAACGAGCGCAACCCUUGUCAUUAGUUGCUACGAAAGGGCACUCUAAUGAGACUGCCGGUGACAAACCGGAGGAAGGUGGGGAUGACGUCAGGUCAUCAUGGCCCUUAUGGGUAGGGCUACACACGUCAUACAAUGGCCGGGACAGAGGGCUGCCAACCCGCGAGGGGGAGCUAAUCCCAGAAACCCGGUCGUAGUCCGGAUCGUAGUCUGCAACUCGACUGCGUGAAGUCGGAAUCGCUAGUAAUCGCGGAUCAGCUUGCCGCGGUGAAUACGUUCCCGGGUCUUGUACACACCGCCCGUCACACCAUGGGAGCGGGUUCUGCCAGAAGUAGUUAGCCUAACCGCAAGGGGGGCG
Molecule: ribosomal RNA, 498 nt
Filed under: uncultured Roseateles sp.
Lineage: Bacteria; Pseudomonadati; Pseudomonadota; Betaproteobacteria; Burkholderiales; Sphaerotilaceae
Description: bacterial SSU rRNA
Rfam family: Bacterial small subunit ribosomal RNA
Source: RNAcentral